This 254-nucleotide ribosomal RNA is filed under the name uncultured bacterium. RNAcentral describes it as "partial 16S ribosomal RNA". It matches the Rfam family "Bacterial small subunit ribosomal RNA", at positions 524 to 777 of the family's 1533-position model. The record is from RNAcentral.
UACGGAGGGGGCUAGCGUUAUUCGGAAUUACUGGGCGUAAAGCGCACGUAGGCGGCUUUGUAAGUAAGAGGUGAAAGCCCAGGGCUCAACCCUGGAAUUGCCUUCGAUACUGUUUGGCUAGAGACCGGAAGAGGUAAGUGGAACUGCGAGUGUAGAGGUGAAAUUCGUAGAUAUUCGCAAGAACACCAGUGGCGAAGGCGGCUUACUGGUCCGGUUCUGACGCUGAGGCGCGAAAGCGUGGGGAGCAAACAGGG